UCUUUGAGAAGCGCGUGCCACGCGUCUUGAAGCCCUACAACAGAAAACCCGUACUGCAAUCGUGAGAGAAAAAGAGGAGCCUGCGAAUCAAGAGAGAUGGAGAUGGUUGUUGGCGACGGCAGACGCGGCGGAGGCCGUUCUGUGCUCCGACGAUGAGUAACUACGGCGGUAGCGAUGUUUUCGGCGGCGGCUAGGGUUUCGUCGAUCCAUGGGUUCUUAUGACGUUCGUCGAAAUCCCCGAUUUUGGCAUAGCAUCUGGAUUUUGAGGCACGGCGUUCGUCGGAACCCUAGAUCGUCGCAUGCCCUCUGGUCAGUUUUCACUGUGACCACUCACUAAUGGUUAGGGUCUCCUAGCCUGAGACGUUGGUCGUUGCCGGCGUCCUCUCAAGGACGCCUGUCGUAGCGGCUGUGUUUUCCUCUCCCUGGUCAUCAUCUUUGUUUUCUUUUAUUGACUAUGGUUAUUUUUGGGUUUCCAUUGUCAGGUGUCGAUGAUGGCUAGGGUUUCCUAUGCUGAGACUAACAAAAUUUGAUGAGUUGUGGUUGCUUUUAUCCACGGUUUAUCGAUGACGAUAGGUGUCUUAAUCUUAGAUGUUCAUGAUUUGAAUUUUGAAAUCGUAAGUCACUUAUGUGUUACCUUUGCUGCUUUGGGUUUUCACAUACCACGUAUAUUGUAUGUAUAUAAAUCUGUGAUUUGUAGAGUUCCUUUAAUGAUGGAGCUACAUGCAUUUGGUCUGUAUACUGUUUUUGGCAUCCAUGUUGUGCGACCAUUAUUUGGCGUUUUGGAUACUGAGCUAGGCGAUGAUGAUCGUGUGGGUGUAAAUCGAGAUGAUGAUUUAACCGUGGCGUGGCAUGUUUGAGAGAUGGUAGAUGUUCAUCUGCAGCCUCCAUUGCAGCCACGAUUAUCUCUUCCAUUUACACCCUUUGAGCCUCUAAUUCUAUGCAACUUGCUGGUAAUGUAUUUAUUGCUUUGAAUUUGAUAGUUUGAUAUGUUUGGAGCGUUGCUUUAGUGGUUUAUAGGCUAUUUAUGUCUGUCAUUGGCACUGGUUCGAAUCUCCCCAGACGUGAUUCAACUGCAUUCGUACAUGGGAGCGAUGGCUCACAAGCUUGCGUAUUGUGUUCCUGGUAAUACUUGAGGUAAUACUUGACUGAGUUCUAUAGAAUCAAGUCAACAUGACUCUUAAUUUAACUAUCAUUUUGAGCAGAUUCAAUUACUUUAGUCACGACUCGCGACUUGGUUCAAUAAUAUCAAUAUGCUUUUAUUUUAGCAGUUGGAUUGAAGUGUUCGUAGCUGUUUAGUUAUUCAUUUAUUUUAAUGUGUUAAGUGAUUUUGGAAAAGCACAAGUAUCAAAUAACACUUUGGAGCAUAACUUGGCUUGCGCGAAAGGUCAAACUACGUUGUUCCUUGGUGACUUUUCGUAUUAUGUCCAUCAAGAGUAGUGCAUACGAGCCAGGCCGGAUAUAUAGCGCUGGAAAUCAUAAAUUCAACUUUGCUUCUGAAAUUGUAAGACUAAUAUACAUGUAUAACCUGAAUAAUGCAGACCGCAAAACAUAAUUACAGUGCCUCAUGAAUUGGUUAUAAAAAUUAAGGCAAUAUGUCGCCAUCGCGCGACAACUAUGGAGGAUGGCAGCUUAGCAGCUGCAACCCCUAUUGCAGCCAAUGUGCCAUGGUCCUUUUGCAUUCUUUAAGCCUCAUUAAUUAGUUCACGUUUCUAAUUGUGCAUUUGUAUAUCAAACCUUGAGUCUGGCUUCUUGAGUAGUCGGUAACUGUCAAAAUUUGUUCACAUAAAUACUUUGUUUCCCGCAAAGAGUUUUUAUUGCUUGCGCAUCGCCUUUGUUCUGCCACGUGUUUUAACUUUUGCACCUCACCACUGAUGAUUGGGAGUCAAAUUGAAGUUGGUACUGUGGCUGUUCGUACAGUUUGUUGAAGCUUUGGUGUGCAGGUGUUUGUUGCCAUUUACCACAACUGUAAGAUCAAAUGGGUAUGUGGUGUCAUAUUCUAUUCAUUUGCUGCUUAUUGUGUUGGUAUGGUGUAUCUGUUCUAUACUUUCACUUAUUCGGUGUCUUAUUCUCUUCCGACUGUUUGUAUAUGAAGUUAUUACGAGUUAAUGAUGAUUCGAACACGGGAGAUGGAUCUGAAAGCGGGUUUGGUGGAAGUGAUAAUGUAGAAGGUGCAUUUGGUGGUGAACAAGAUAUCCCCACCGACUCAUCUUCGACUUCGCGUUGGAGACGAAAAUAUCACCGGCAAACUCCUCGGCUCUUUAUAAAAUGGAUUGACUGGAUGAAGUCUUCAAAGUUGCUUAGCCUGAACCACCAUUGACACCUGUAUUAGAUUUGUUUUUGCGAUUGGGAAAUGGUGGUAGUGCACUGAAUGCUAUACAGAACGGCUAUGCGCAGCAACAUGCGGAUUGCUAAAACGCCAACCCGACAAGAUCCAAAAAAGACCACUUUUUGUAAUAUGGUUAAAACAACAAACCAAAGUCAUAUUUUGCAUUGCUCCUAAAUGUGUAUGUGUCUGUUAGGCCACCUAAUAGAACUAUAAAUUGCCAAAUCUGUUCUUUUCUAAUUUGUAAUACGACUACCAUUACCGCUGAUUUUA
This is a long non-coding RNA of Helianthus annuus (common sunflower), 2596 nucleotides long. RefSeq lists it as uncharacterized. Lineage: Eukaryota; Viridiplantae; Streptophyta; Magnoliopsida; Asterales; Asteraceae. The transcript has 2 exons. The record is from RefSeq and is a predicted model, not a curated record.